GAUGAACGCUGGCGGCGUGCCUAAUACAUGCAAGUUGAGCGAACAGACGAGGAGCUUGCUCCUCUGACGUUAGCGGCGGACGGGUGAGUAACACGUGGAUAACCUACCUAUAAGACUGGGAUAACUUCGGGAAACCGGAGCUAAUACCGGAUAAUAUAUUGAACCGCAUGGUUCAAUAGUGAAAGACGGUUUUGCUGUCACUUAUAGAUGGAUCCGCGCCGCAUUAGCUAGUUGGUAAGGUAACGGCUUACCAAGGCAACGAUGCGUAGCCGACCUGAGAGGGUGAUCGGCCACAAUGGAACUGAGACACGGUCCAGACUCCUAAGGGAGGCAGCAGUAGGGAAUCUUCCGCAAUGGGCGAAAGCCUGACGGAGCAAAGCCGCGUGAGUAAUGAAGGUCUUCGGAUCGUAAAACUCUGUUAUUAGGGAAGAACAAAUGUGUAAGUAACUAUGCACGUCUUGACGGUACCUAAUCAGAAAGCCACGGCUAACUACGUG
This 497-nucleotide ribosomal RNA is filed under the name uncultured bacterium. RNAcentral's name for it is "partial 16S ribosomal RNA". It matches the Rfam family "Bacterial small subunit ribosomal RNA", at positions 28 to 507 of the family's 1533-position model. The record is from RNAcentral.